AUUGAACGCUGGCGGCAGGCCUAACACAUGCAAGUCGAACGAGUGGCGGACGGGUGAGUAAUGUCUGGGAAACUGCCCGAUGGAGGGGGAUAACUACUGGAAACGGUAGCUAAUACCGCAUACCAUCGGAUGUGCCCAGAUGGGAUUAGGUAGGAGGUGGGGUAACGGCUCACCUAGGCGACGAUCCCUAGCUGGUCCGAGAGGAUGACCCGCCACACUGGAACGGAGACACGGUCCAGAGUCCUACGGGAGGCAGCAGUGGGGAAUAUUGCACAAUGGGCGAAAGCCUGAUGCAGCCAUGCCGCGUGGAUGAAGAAGGCCUUCGGGUUGUAAAGUUCUUUCAGCGAGGAGGCGUUACUCGCAGAAGAAGCACCGGCUAACUACGUGCCAGCAGCCGCGGUAAUUC
Molecule: ribosomal RNA, 406 nt
Filed under: uncultured bacterium
Lineage: Bacteria
Description: partial 16S ribosomal RNA
Rfam family: Bacterial small subunit ribosomal RNA
Source: RNAcentral